CUAGUUGGUAGGGUAACGGCCUACCAAGGCUAUGAUCGGUAGCCGGCCUGAGAGGGCACACGGCCACACUGGCACUGAAACACGGGCCAGACUCCUACGGGAGGCAGCAGUGGGGAAUCUUGCACAAUGGGGGCAACCCUGAUGCAGCGACGCCGCGUGAGCGAUGAAGCCCUUCGGGGUGUAAAGCUCUUUCGGCAGGGAAGAUUAUGACGGUACCUGCAGAAGCAGCUGCGGCUAACUACGUGCCAGCAGCCGCGGUAAUACGUAGGCAGCAAGCGUUGUUCGGAGUUACUGGGCGUAAAGGGUGUGUAGGCGGCCUUCUAAGUUUGGUGUGAAAUCUCCCGGCUCAACCGGGAGGGUGCGCCGAAGACUGGGGGGCUAGAGUGCGGGAUGGGAGAGUAGAAUUCCUGGUGUAGCGGUGAAAUGCGUAGAUAUCAGGAGGAAUACCUGUGGUGUAGACGGCUCUCUGGACCGCAACUGACGCUGAGACACGAAAGCGUGGGUAGCAAACAGGAUUAGAUACCCUGGUAGUCCACGCCCUAAACGAUGCAUAUUUGGUGUAGGUCAUUCAGUUGAUCUGUGCCGGAGCUAACGCGUUAAAUAUGCCGCCUGGGGAGUACAGUCGCAAGGCUGAAACUCAAAGGAAUUGACG
RNAcentral lists this ribosomal RNA (652 nucleotides) under uncultured Acidobacteriota bacterium. RNAcentral's name for it is "SSU rRNA". It matches the Rfam family "Bacterial small subunit ribosomal RNA", at positions 245 to 915 of the family's 1533-position model. Lineage: Bacteria; Pseudomonadati; Acidobacteriota. The record is from RNAcentral.